ACAGUAGUGAUUCAGUGGUAGAAUUCUCACCUUCUAUUUAUAUAUAUAUAUAUUAUGCAGGAGACCCAGGUUUGAUUCCUGGCCAGUGUA
This 90-nucleotide transfer RNA is filed under the name Loxodonta africana (African savanna elephant). It matches the Rfam family "tRNA". Rfam says of the family: Transfer RNA (tRNA) molecules are approximately 80 nucleotides in length. Their secondary structure includes four short double-helical elements and three loops (D, anti-codon, and T loops). The record is from Rfam by way of RNAcentral. Lineage: Eukaryota; Metazoa; Chordata; Mammalia; Proboscidea; Elephantidae.